CCAUGCCGCGUGAAAUGAUGAAGGCCUUAGGGUUGUAAAAUUCUUUCGUCAGGGAUGAUAAUGACCGUACCUGAAGAAGAAGCCCCGGCUAACUUCGUGCCAGCAGCCGCGGUAAUACGAAGGGGGCUAGCGUUGUUCGGAAUUACUGGGCGUAAAGCGCACGUAGGCGGACUUUUAAGUCAGGUGUGAAAUCCCGGGGCUCAACCUCGGAACUGCAUUUGAAACUGGAAGUCUUGAGAUCAGGAGAGGUUAGCGGAAUACCGAGUGUAGAGGUGAAAUUCGUAGAUAUUCGGUGGAACACCAGUGGCGAAGGCGGCUAACUGGACUGAUACUGACGCUGAGGUGCGAAAGUGUGGGGAGCAAACAGGAUUAGAUACCCUGGUAGUCCACACCGUAAACGAUGAGAGCUAGUUGUUGGCAGGCAUGCCUGUCGGUGACGCAGUUAACACAUUAAGCUCUCCGCCUGGGGAGUACGGCCGCAAGGUUAAAACUCAAAGGAAUUGACGGA
This 508-nucleotide ribosomal RNA is filed under the name Rhodobacterales bacterium MA012. RNAcentral describes it as "bacterial SSU rRNA". It matches the Rfam family "Bacterial small subunit ribosomal RNA", at positions 392 to 917 of the family's 1533-position model. The record is from RNAcentral. Lineage: Bacteria; Pseudomonadati; Pseudomonadota; Alphaproteobacteria; Rhodobacterales.